CCUACGGGUGGCAGCAGUGAGGAAUAUUGGUCAAUGGGCGCGAGCCUGAACCAGCCAAGUAGCGUGAAGGAUGACUGCCCUACGGGUUGUAAACUUCUUUUAUAAAGGAAUCAAGUGAGGCACGUGUGCCUUUUUGUAUGUACUUUAUGAAUAAGGAUCGGCUAACUCCGUGCCAGCAGCCGCGGUAAUACGGAGGAUCCGAGCGUUAUCCGGAUUUAUUGGGUUUAAAGGGAGCGUAGAUGGUUUGUUAAGUAAGUUGUGAAAGUUUGCGGCUCAACCGUAAAAUUGCAAUUGAUACUGGCAGGCUUGAGUAUAGUUGAGGUAGGCGGAAUGCGUGGUGUAGCGGUGAAAUGCUGAGAGAUCACGAAGAACUCCGAUUGCGAAGGCAGCUUACGAAACUGCCACUGACAUUGAUGCUCGAAAGUGUGGGUAUCAAACAGGAUUAGAUACCCUUGUAGUC
This 460-nucleotide ribosomal RNA is filed under the name uncultured bacterium. RNAcentral describes it as "partial 16S ribosomal RNA". It matches the Rfam family "Bacterial small subunit ribosomal RNA", at positions 338 to 795 of the family's 1533-position model. The record is from RNAcentral.